This 73-nucleotide transfer RNA is filed under the name Prochlorococcus marinus str. MIT 9321. RNAcentral's name for it is "tRNA-Ala". It matches the Rfam family "tRNA". From Rfam's summary of the family: Transfer RNA (tRNA) molecules are approximately 80 nucleotides in length. Their secondary structure includes four short double-helical elements and three loops (D, anti-codon, and T loops). The record is from RNAcentral. Lineage: Bacteria; Bacillati; Cyanobacteriota; Cyanophyceae; Synechococcales; Prochlorococcaceae.
GGGGCCAUAGCUCAGUUGGUAGAGCACCUGCAUGGCAUGCAGGGGGUCAGGGGUUCAAAUCCCCUUGGCUCCA